GCCUGACCAGCCAUGCCGCGUGCAGGAUGACGGUCCUAUGGAUUGUAAACUGCUUUUGUACGGGAAGAAACACUCCGACGUGUCGGAGCUUGACGGUACCGUAAGAAUAAGGAUCGGCUAACUCCGUGCCAGCAGCCGCGGUAAUACGGAGGAUCCAAGCGUUAUCCGGAAUCAUUGGGUUUAAAGGGUCCGUAGGCGGUCUGGUAAGUCAGUGGUGAAAGCCCAUCGCUCAACGGUGGAACGGCCAUUGAUACUGCUGGACUUGAAUUACUGGGAAGCAACUAGAAUAUGUAGUGUAGCGGUGAAAUGCUUAGAGAUUACAUGGAAUACCAAUUGCGAAGGCAGGUUGCUACCAGUGGAUUGACGCUGAUGGACGAAAGCGUGGGUAGCGAACAGGAUUAGAUACCCUGGUAGUCCACGCCGUAAACGAUGGAUACUAGCUGUUGGGAGCAAUCUCAGUGGCUAAGCGAAAGUGAUAAGUAUCCCACCUGGGGAGUACGUUCGCAAGAAUGAAACUCAAAGGAAUUGACGGGGGCCCGCACAAGCGGUGGAGCAUGUGGUUUAAUUCGAUGAUACGCGAGGAACCUUACCAAGGCUUAAAUGCAGACUGACCGAUUUGGAAACAGAUCUUUCGC
RNAcentral lists this ribosomal RNA (635 nucleotides) under Flavobacterium sp. So1Ps_569. Its description in RNAcentral is "bacterial SSU rRNA". It matches the Rfam family "Bacterial small subunit ribosomal RNA", at positions 381 to 1018 of the family's 1533-position model. The record is from RNAcentral. RNAcentral also lists the same sequence under 2 other names. Lineage: Bacteria; Pseudomonadati; Bacteroidota; Flavobacteriia; Flavobacteriales; Flavobacteriaceae.